RNAcentral lists this ribosomal RNA (366 nucleotides) under Triticum aestivum (bread wheat). Its description in RNAcentral is "partial small subunit ribosomal RNA". The record is from RNAcentral. Lineage: Eukaryota; Viridiplantae; Streptophyta; Magnoliopsida; Poales; Poaceae.
UGGUAUCUUUGUCACGUAGUCAUUCUUACUAAAGAUAACCUUAUUAAGAGGAAUUAGUACGGAAAUACGCAAUGUGUCUUUUGUCACCAUAAUGAAACAAUAAAACACUUAUUCUUCCAAAGCAAAUUGGCUCGUUCUAUAUGGUGAGUCAUCCAGAUAGCUUCUGGCAUGUAUUCUUCUUGUAGUGUUGCUAAUGUAUUUGGCAACUGGUUACAUGGAAUUGAUCACAACUUUAGAAUUCUUCUUAGGGUAGAAGCGCUUGCCGUUAUUUGGUCGCUUUGGCUAUGUAGAAAUGAUAAGGUUUUUACCGAUAAACGUACUUCUCUCAUGCAGGUUAUCUACAGAUGUACCGGGACUCUUCGUUGA